AAUUCGUUUGAGGGGGCUAGGGUAAAACCCUAAGCCGCCUCUUACACCCCUACACCCACCUUUCCACCUCCUCUUCUGCAAUAUCCACCACGUCGCCGUGCGGACAUCACCACCGUGAUGUCCGCAGCGUGACAAGCACAGAAAAAGGACGAGGAACCCCAUGCUUUUUUCAAAUUAAUGCUUGUUUAGUUAGUUAAAGUUUGGUACUGUUAGUAUAAAUUUAAAUGAUGUAGAUUAGUAUUGUUAUCUUAUGAUCUUGGACUAGAAUGUGCUUUGUUUGGAAUAACAAUGACCAUCUAAUGAGCUAGUUGUUUUAAUUAUUGAUCCAGUAGUAUAACAUUUUAUGUACAUUGUAAAAUGGUGAUGUUUUUAACUUUGAUUAGAGUUAGAUUGUAUUGCUAAUGUUGAUGCUCUGUGCCAUACUUGCUUGAUCUAUUUUUCUUUGAAUUUAGGCCAAAAUGAAUCAUGUUAGAACAAAAGGGAUUAGUGAUGAUUGCUUGGUAGUGGUCUAGGGCUGUUAGUGUGAUAUAAGUGGUGAAAUGGACUGGUUGGUUUGCCUGAUGGUCUGUUAAAGAGGAAAUGGGCUGAUCAUUCAAGUUUGUCUUGUCUCUAAUGCCAUAUUUUGUAUUGUCUGUGUUGUUCAUGACAUGUUCUGGGAGUGUAGGCUGUUGAAAUGGUUGUAUAUUCUUAAAAAAUGAUUACUUUGGUUCUUAUGUUAAUCUGUUCUUGUCUAGGGUGUGAGUUUUACCUAUUGGCUGUUAGUAAGAGGUUCAUUUUGAUUGAAAGCAACUUUUUAAAGUUGUGAGGGGUGGCAAUUCUCAUUUGGUUUUCUGCUUUAAGAUUCAUGUGAAACAUCCCAUUUAAGCUUGACCUUUGCAUCUGCAUAUUAGCCUCUUGUCUCCACUUGCUUGUUUAAAGUUAUCCUUAUCUGGUGUUUUAUGGUUACUUGUUUUGAGUUUUAUGGGAACAUUGACCUCUGCUGAGGAAAAGUGAGGUUGUUUUAGUGUUGAUCUUGUAAGCAUGAAUUUCUGUGUCACUCCAUGAUCAUGUGAACUAGCCUAUUUGCUUCUAUGUCAUAUACUUAGAUGAUGGUGCUCAACUUGUACUCUAUAAGCCCUGUUCUGUGUCUUUGUUUAAUUUUCUUGGACUGCUUCUAUAUUCCCAGGCAUAUGUAUCACCUGAACCUGAUAUUGAGCAUGUUGUUCUCUCCCAUUGCACCUGCAUUUUAGUUAGCAUUGUCUUGGCAUAGUAAAUCUUACAUUUCACUUAGUUAGCCUACAUGAUUCUGUGGCUUGAGACUCCAAAAUCCUACUUUGCUUUUGCUUGCUACAUCACUAGUUAAAACACUAUUGUUCAAUGUCAAAUUAACCAUGCUAUGCCUACUUUUAUCAGAAUGCCAUACUGUUAUACUUGUUUUGUCCAUUCUUGUCAAAAUCCUGCAUGGUUUUUUCUAAAUAUGUGUCCCCUUUUACCAUGUUUGUCUUGUUUUGAGAGUUUCAAAUGCUGUAAGUUGACUUAUUCAUGGCUAUCUGCUUUCAAGGUUCAUUUGAGUGUUUAAGAUGUCUUCCUUCAUUUGUGUCAAGGCCUUAGGCCACAUCUUUGCCCUAUCUUGCCUUGUUUGUCAUGUUCAUUAUUUAAUUUAGGGUAUCUUGCUUCUCUUGCAAUGGUAAACCUUGUGUACCUUUCCUCCCCUUCCCUUCUCUUCCUACAUGACUGUUGACAUGUAAAUUCAUGCCUGCCAUCCUGCAUCCCACUUAGGUACAUUGUACAACCUCUCUAAGUGUUACUCUAAGCUAUAGCAGUCCAUUAUAAUCAUAUGCAUUAACCAUGACUAUUUUGCUGUCUUCUGCUUUAGUAUACUAGUGUACAUGGCACUUACCCCAUCAUGAUAUGUAUGAAAUGUGUCUCUUGUGUGAUCAUGACCAUGCCUCCUCCUGUCUGAACUUGUUGGCCUUGAUAUCAAUGUGCUGCACCAUCUGCUUUUACUUGUGCCCUGGCUGACCUGAUUCAUCUUGCAUCACCUAGGAUCUGGAUCUUCUUAUUUCAUCUCUGUACUAUCCAUGUCUGCUGCUUGGGUUGCCCAUUGAAUCUUGUUUUUGCAUCAUACUAGGAACACCAUAUGGCCUGACUAAACUGAUAUUUGUGACCAACAUUGAGUAGUUUUUCCCUGCUACUACUCACAUUGGCCUUACUAUCCCAUGCACCCUUUACAUGCUGGAGUGAGACCUGCAACACCUUAUAUGAACCUUGAAGUUUCUUGAUUGUUUGCCUAAGACAUAAGUUGAACACAUCCAUGCUUUGUGGUAUAUGUACCUUGACACUUCUAUAACUGUUGCCUCCUACAUGGUUCACCAUGGCUUAUCUCAGCCAUACUUCCAUUAGUGUACUGCUUCUAUGCUCACAAGCUUUGUUUGUGUUCAUUUCAGUGCUACCUGUUCCCUUUGUAUUUGUUGUGAUCUUAUAUACUUUGUGCUCUCUUUGUUCCUUCUUAAAUGGUGUUUAUUAAUUCGAGGCCAAGUAUGGUAAUUCAGGGAUGUUCUAAUCUCCCCGGUGUUAGCCAUGCCUGGGGUCCUUCAAGGCCCCUUAGAACUUGUGCGACAUCGGGAAUACGGGGUUAGGACCCAGUCCCCAGGUCAUAUUAAGUCUUAAAAUGAACCAUUACCACAGUUUAGGAUACGGAGGGACAAGUAUAAGAUCUUUGCAUGACUUGUUUUGUUUAUAUAUGUACAUAUGUGUGCCUUAGUUAUUUUAGUAAUAAGGACGGUUAAAUAUAAACUAACCGAGUUUUUUUUCUUUUCUUCUUUUCCUCCUCCACUUGUAUGACCAUUCGGGUCAAGACCAGGACCACCAUUCAAAUUAGGAUCGAGUCCGCGAAGAAAAAACAAUAGCGAGGCGCGCAGAAGGCCCAACCAUGGGUGAAAAUGGCUAACUAGGGGCUUGAUAUUGAAGUGUGUAGAAAUGGGAGCUUGGAAGCUCACAAAAGGGAGAUGCAGCUCUUCAGAAUUCCCUGAAGGACCGGAGUGUAACCGGGUUCUUAACUCUGCACGUCAAAGGAAAACGUAAGCUCUCAAUAAUGUAUUUUCCACUUUAUCUAGAUAUGUAGUUAAGACCAACUAUAUAUCUUGUACCCAAAUUGUAUUCUCUUUUUACUUUUGAUUAAUGUACAGUUUCAGUGCUCUGUCUUUUCUCAAUUUGUCCCUUAGAUAAUGACUAAUGUUAAUGAGAUAUAACUUAUAAGUACGAUAUUAAGCUUAAAUUAAGGGGGUUGAUUAUCAAAGCUCUUUUAAAGAUCUGAAACUAUAUAGAAGAAUCCUACAACUAUGCUCAAAGUCUGGGCGAUUCUAACUUCUCAACUAAUGAUGACUCCUGAAAAAAGGUGUUGAUCUCUUUGAUAAAGUUAGACUAACAAAGUUUUAACAUACUAUGUGCUUUUAACAGUUACCAGUUUCAAAAAAAACAUAUUAUGUGCUUUUCUGGGGCAAUUUAGAGAAAAAUUCCAAGGAAUGUCGUGAUUGUAACUCUUCCAUUUUCCAAAAAAACAAAACAAUUUUUGUUCUGGGUUUGAGAAAAGUUUUUUCAGAUUCCGUACUGCAAAUCAAAGCCAAAUAGAAAUAUAGAAUAGAUCUUUGGUUCUAGAAAAAGGUCAGACAAAAGAAAAAAUUCAACAUCUUAUUUUCCCGCUAUGUCAUAUUUCUGCUAAACCAUCACUUUUUUCAGUAUUUUCAAGUCAAGAGACCAUAGCUUAAGAAUAAAAAAUUGAUAUUAGUAGAAUCUCAAUUUUGAUUCAACUUUGUCUCUAAAGUUCUUGUGUUUCUGACUAACGUGCAAGCAUUCCUGCUUUGAGACGGAUUGUAGUUGGCAAAGUGAGUUACUUUACCUUUUCUAAGAACCAGCACAAGGUAAUUUUUUCUAAUUUUUAGGAGUUAACCGAACACAAGAAACAAUUGGACUUACAUGGGUUUGACCCAUAAAAACCCCCGAGUUGUAUCUUGCAUACUUGCAAGCGUGCAAGAUUGGCAGAUAAAAGAGAUGCCUGUUUAUGUUUAUAUUUUAUGCAGGAAUAUUAUGAGGUUAUUUCUGUUGUGCAUCAUGGUUAUUAUCUGGUUGAUCUUUACGGCCUUGCUAACCACAUAGGUGAAGUUCUAACCUUGCAGGUGGCAUGACACCUUUUUAGAAAUACGUCCAUGCAUAUUGCUGGUGAACUCAUACUGUGAGGUGAUUUAUCGCACAGUAAACUUGGCGCCAAUAAUUGCACAAAGCUUUCCACAUUUUGGCAAUAUUUAAUGUGGAGCAUGGAGGCUAUCAGGAAGUUCUGAUGUAAGGAUGACGAUGAAGAACAUUAGUGGGCAAAAUCAAUUUAGUGUUAGCAGUGCAUUGUAGAAUGAUGAAUUUCGUGUGAUGUUUCAUGUCAUGUCCUUUUAAGGCAUUUAACCUUUUGGCUUUGAAGUUGUACUAUUAAAAAAAAGUUUUGUUCUUUCAAGAUAUUUUUAUGUGGCAUGUAUAGUCAGCAACUAUGUAUAAUCCGUAGGGCUCUUUAAAACUUCUCUUG
Molecule: long non-coding RNA, 4549 nt
Organism: Lycium barbarum (goji berry)
Lineage: Eukaryota; Viridiplantae; Streptophyta; Magnoliopsida; Solanales; Solanaceae
Exons: 2
Source: RefSeq, a predicted model, not a curated record